GGAAAGAGUAAACAAAACCAGGAAAGUAAUCCAUUGAUAAAACGCCAAGUGAUGUUGUUCUGCGGAGCCAGAGUGGGGCCACCUGGGCACAAUUCUCCCACAAAGGAGCCAACUCUACUGGGGCUGAGACCCAGAGCCAUCUGGACUCCCAGGCCAGCCCCAGAGCAUUGAGCAGCGGGUUAGGAUACUUAAGGAGAGGCAAGUCAGGCAAGAAGCAGAAAGACAGGAAAUGGAGAGAUAGGAAGCAGAGAGACAGGAAGUGGAGGGACAGGAAGUGGAGAAUCCAGCAGGGGCCAAUGUUGGACAACACUCCUUUGCCAGCUGUGCUCCCCAUGCAACGGGAUGAGGAGAUUUUAAGCCUCUACCAGAAAAACUCAAAUCUGGAGAUAAUUUAAUUUUUCCUGGGUCUCUGCCAGCCAUCUCCAGAGUUUUGUCAAAUUUUCCACCUACUUCCUCUGUGUGUGGAAACUCAGCCUCCAUUUUAGAACUCCAUUCCCAACAGUGGUUCUGCACCCCCACCCAUGUUUUUUUGUUUGUUUGUUUGUUUGUUUGUUUUUGGUUAUCCUGGAGGUUUUGUGGAUUAAGAUGUGUGAGAUGAGGGGUUUAUAGGGACUGGCUGGAGGUAUGCCCCCCCUUCCACCCACACACCCACACACACAUACACACGCACACGCUGUUGUGCAGAAGAUGUUUCUUGGGUGGCUGAGCAAAGAAUCAGGUAUUUGGAUGUCCUGAUUUGACCCUGAGAAAAAUAGCAGCCAUCCACAGAGCUCUGAAACAUACUUCCCACUGCUUGGAAUGGCAGCUCCUCCUCAGAAUACAAGCAAGGAAACGUGUGGCAUCUGGCUACCAUGAGCUGAAGACAAAGCCUACAUGGGGAAAAGUGCAAAACCAGGAGAAUGGGAGAGAAAUGGAGCCACGCACUGAUGCUGUUGUGAAACAUCUCAAUCAAACUGCACCUGAAGACCGCCCUAUCCCUGCAUUUUUCAUUUACAUGAGCCAAUAAACUCUCUCAUUUAAGUCAA
Molecule: long non-coding RNA, 1025 nt
Filed under: Homo sapiens (human)
Lineage: Eukaryota; Metazoa; Chordata; Mammalia; Primates; Hominidae
Description: EMX2 opposite strand/antisense RNA
Source: RNAcentral